Mastomys coucha (southern multimammate mouse) is the source of this 1262-nucleotide RNA transcript. It is a transcript of the gene named TBC1 domain family member 20 pseudogene, with no coding region annotated. Lineage: Eukaryota; Metazoa; Chordata; Mammalia; Rodentia; Muridae. The record is from RefSeq and is a predicted model, not a curated record. The transcript has a single exon.
GGUUAGGUCCGCGGUGGGAGCCGCGCCUCAGGCUCCGCCGCCAGCCGGGGCUCGGGCUGGGGCCCGGGCCCCCGGAAUGGCCCUCCGGCCCUCAAAGGGCGACGGCUCAGCCGGCCGCUGGGACCGCGGCACAGGGAAGGCAGACUUUAAUGCCAAAAGGAAAAAGAAGGUGGCGGAGAUACACCAGGCUCUGAACAGUGAUCCCGUCGAUGUGGCUGCCCUCCGACGAAUGGCUAUCAGUGAGGGAGGGCUCCUGACUGAUGAGAUCAGGUGCCAAGUGUGGCCUAAGCUCCUCAAUGUCAACACCAAUGAGCCACUGCCUGUGUCAAGGAGACAUGAGCAAGGACUACCAGCAAGUGCUGCUAGACGUCAGGCGGUCUCUUCGACGCUUUCCUCCUGGCAUGCCAGACGAGCAGAGAGAAGGGCUCCAGGAAGAGCUAAUCGAUAUCAUCCUCCUCAUCUUGGAUCGAAACCCUCAGCUCCACUACUACCAGGGCUACCAUGACAUUGUGGUCACUUUUCUGCUGGUGGUGGGCGAGAAGCUGGCAACAUCCCUGGUAGAAAAAUUGUCUACUCACCACCUCAGGGAUUUCAUGGAUCCCACAAUGGACAACACCAAGCACAUCCUAAAUUAUCUGAUGCCCAUUAUUGACCAAGUGAACCCAGAACUCCAUGACUUCAUGCAGAGAUCGUGCUGUACCGGGAGCAAGAAGUCCUGGACUGUGACUGUGACAUGGCUUCUGUCCACCACAUGUUGUCCCAGAUCCCUCAGGACCUGCCCUAUGAGACACUCAUCAGCAGAGCUGGAGACCUUUGUUCAAUUUCCCCCUUCUGAACUUGCAAGGGAAGCGGCUGCUCAGCAGGAGGCUGAGAGAACCGCAGGCAGCCUCUACUUUCAAAGACUGAGCUGGCAUCGACUCAGCAGAGGCCAGAUAUGGCCAGAUAUGCAGCGGUUUCGGGGACUUCUGAGGCCUGAGGCUCGAACAAAAGAUGUCCUGACCAAACCAAGGACCAACCGCUUUGUGAAACUGGCAGUGAUGGGGCUGACAGUAGCUCUUGGAGCAGCAGCACUAGCAGUGGUGAAGAGUGCCCUGGAGUGGGCCCCUAAGUUCCAGCUGCAGCUGUUUCCCUAAACUGAGCUCAAGCAGCCACUUCCUCACCCAGGGCACCAGGCUCUCCCCAUUUCCAGAAAGAGGGUGAAGUUGCUGUGAUUAAAGGGUUUCUGUCGGGGGUGUUCCAUCUGCCACCCUUGGCAGCUUGUC